RNAcentral lists this ribosomal RNA (433 nucleotides) under uncultured bacterium. RNAcentral describes it as "partial 16S ribosomal RNA". It matches the Rfam family "Bacterial small subunit ribosomal RNA", at positions 29 to 507 of the family's 1533-position model. The record is from RNAcentral.
AACGAACGCUGGCGGCAUGCCUAACACAUGCAAGUCGAACGAGACCUUCGGGUCUAGUGGCGCACGGGUGCGUAACGCGUGGGAACCUGCCCUUAGGUUCGGAAUAACUCCCCGAAAGGGGUGCUAAUACCGGAUAAUGUCUUCGGACCAAAGAUUUAUCGCCUUUGGAUGGGCCCGCGUUGGAUUAGCUAGUUGGUAGGGUAAAAGCCUACCAAGGCGACGAUCCAUAGCUGGUCUGAGAGGAUGAUCAGCCACACUGGGACUGAGACACGGCCCAGACUCCUACGGGAGGCAGCAGUGGGGAAUAUUGGACAAUGGGCGAAAGCCUGAUCCAGCAAUGCCGCGUGAGUGAUGAAGGCCUUAGGGUUGUAAAGCUCUUUUAACCGGGAUGAUAAUGACAGUACCGGGAGAAUAAGCCCCGGCUAACUCCGUG